This 447-nucleotide ribosomal RNA is filed under the name uncultured bacterium. Its description in RNAcentral is "partial 16S ribosomal RNA". It matches the Rfam family "Bacterial small subunit ribosomal RNA", at positions 331 to 795 of the family's 1533-position model. The record is from RNAcentral.
CCAGACUCCUACGGGAGGCAGCAGUGGGAGAUAUUGCACAAUGGGGGAAACCCUGAUGCAGCGACGCCGCGUGAGUGAAGAAGUAAUUCGUUACGUAAAGCUCUAUCAGCAGGGAAGAAAAUGACGGUACCUGACUAAGAAGCCCCGGCUGACUACGUGCCAGCAGCCGCGGUAAUACGUAUGGUGCAAGCGUUAUCCGGAUUUACUGGGUGUAAAGGGAGCGCAGGCGGCGCGUUAAGCCUGGUGUGAAAGCCCGCGGCCCAACCGCGGGACUGCAUUGGGAACUGGCGCGCUGGAGUGCCGGAGGGGUAGGCGGAAUUCCUAGUGUAGCGGUGAAAUGCGUAGAUAUUAGGAGGAACACCAGUGGCGAAGGCGACUUUCUGGACUGUACCUGACGCUGAGGCGCGAAAGCGUGGGUAGCGAACGGGAUUAGAUACCCCCGUAAAC